This 625-nucleotide ribosomal RNA is filed under the name uncultured fungus. RNAcentral's name for it is "eukaryotic LSU rRNA". It matches the Rfam family "Eukaryotic large subunit ribosomal RNA", at positions 40 to 647 of the family's 3401-position model. Lineage: Eukaryota; Fungi. The record is from RNAcentral.
AUAUCAAUAAGCGGAGGGAAAGAAACUAACAAGGAUUUCCCUAAUAACGGCGAGUGAAACGGGGAGAGCUCAAAUUUUAAAUCUCGCGGUCUCAGGCGGUUCGAGUUGUUAUUUAGAGAAGUUGUUUUCGUUACCGGCCGUGUUAAAAUUCCUUGGAACAAGGCGUCAUAGAAGGUGAGAAUUCCGUUCAUGACACGGAAUACCAGUGGUUUGUGAUAACACUUCAAAGAGUCGAGUUGUUUGGGAAUGCAACUCAAAAUGGGUGGUGAAUUCCAUCUAAAACUAAAUAUAGGCGAGAGACCGAUAGCGAACAAGUACCGUGAGGGAAAGAUGAAAAGAACUUUGGAAAGAGAGUUAAACAGUACGUGAAGUUGUUGAGAAGGGAAACGCUUGAAGUCAGUCGCGUCUGCUGGGACUCAACCUUGCUUUUGCCUGGUGUACUUCUCAGUAGAUGGGCCAGCAUCAAUUUCGGGUGCCGGAAAAGGAUUUGAGGAAUGUGACAGCUUGCUGUGUUAAAACCUCUUGUCGCACACGGCGCUUGGGAUUGAGGACUGCAGCACGCCUUUUGGUUGGGGUUCUCCCACGCGCACAGUGCUUAGGAUGCUGGCGUAAUGGCUUUAAACGA